This 160-nucleotide ribosomal RNA is filed under the name Sanicula epipactis. RNAcentral's name for it is "5.8S ribosomal RNA". It matches the Rfam family "5.8S ribosomal RNA". Rfam says of the family: 5.8S ribosomal RNA (5.8S rRNA) is a component of the large subunit of the eukaryotic ribosome. It is transcribed by RNA polymerase I as part of the 45S precursor that also contains 18S and 28S rRNA. Functionally, it is thought that 5.8S rRNA may be involved in ribosome translocation. Lineage: Eukaryota; Viridiplantae; Streptophyta; Magnoliopsida; Apiales; Apiaceae. The record is from RNAcentral.
AACGACUCUCGGCAACGGAUAUCUCGGCUCUCGCGAUCGAUGAAGAACGUAGCGAAAUGCGAUACUUGGUGUGAAUUGCAGAAUCCCGUGAACCAUCGAGUCUUUGAACGCAAGUUGCGCCCAAAGCCAUUUCGGCAGGCAGUCUGCCUGGGCGUCACGC